CAAAACGAGGGGGGAAUUGGAUUUCGAGACAUGCAUCUAUUCAACCAAGCCUUGCUAGCUAGGCAGGGCUGGAGACUUAUUCAGAGACCGGACAGCCUGUGUGCAAAGGUACUCAAAUCCAAAUACUACCCUAAAGGGGGAUUGUUGGACACUGUCUUUGCGACGGAGGCUUCGCAGUCGUGGAGAGGAAUUGCAUUUGGUCUCGAACUCCUUAAGAAGGGACUCAUUUGA
Molecule: ribosomal RNA, 231 nt
Filed under: Triticum aestivum (bread wheat)
Lineage: Eukaryota; Viridiplantae; Streptophyta; Magnoliopsida; Poales; Poaceae
Description: partial small subunit ribosomal RNA
Source: RNAcentral